CUACGGGGUGCACCAGUGAGGAAUAUUGCACAAUGGGGGGAACCCUGAUGCAGCAACGCCGCGUGGAGGAUGACGCAUUUCGGUGUGUAAACUCCUUUUAUAUGUCAAGAAAAUGACGGUAGCAUAUGAAUAAGCACCGGCUAACUCCGUGCCAGCAGCCGCGGUAAUACGGAGGGUGCAAGCGUUACUCGGAAUCACUGGGCGUAAAGGACGCGUAGGCGGGUUGGAAAGUCAGGUGUGAAAUCCUACAGCUUAACUGUAGAACUGCACUUGAAACUUCUAAUCUAGAGUAUGGGAGGGGGAGAUGGAAUUAGUGGUGUAGGGGUAAAAUCCGUAGAUAUCACUAGGAAUACCUAAAGCGAAGGCGAUCUCCUGGAACAUUACUGACGCUAAGACGUGAAAGCGUGGGGAGCAAACAGGAUUAGAUACCCUAGUAGUC
RNAcentral lists this ribosomal RNA (439 nucleotides) under uncultured bacterium. RNAcentral's name for it is "partial 16S ribosomal RNA". It matches the Rfam family "Bacterial small subunit ribosomal RNA", at positions 339 to 795 of the family's 1533-position model. The record is from RNAcentral.